UGUUUUCUCCGCAGCCAGAGGUGCCCAAUUCCAGUCCUUUUCAAUUUGUAUACUUUUCUCCAAUGACUCCUUGAGGGUAAUUACAGUUCUUUUCACAAAUGAAGUAUGGAAGAUACGAGAGAGCGCCGAGGCUGUCAAUAGCCCUGCAGGAAUGCACGGUCUGUCUCCGGGAGACAGAAAGCAUCGAUCCUCCUUCCUGUGGGACUUGGAGCGUGAAAGGGAGGCUGGGGUGGACUCGCCUUCCCCUCCAAAGGGCCGGCUGGCUGGGGACAGGAGGUUCUGAACCCCAGGGAGGCACCCGAUGGAAGAGAUUGCUCCCCACUCCCCAGGCAAGAGUUUGAAGACCCGAGGGCUUUGCAGUGUUUGUGUUUUCCUUCCUGGGAUGGACGAUCCAAGAGCUCCAGCCACAGUCAGCAUGAGGCGCUCUGGUGGUCCGGGACACCAGUGACAGAGAGGACCAGAGAGCACCUGCUGGCAGACAGGUACACGGUACACAGCCGGAGACAGGCACCACCGAGGAGGUGGGAUCAGACAGACGUCCUCCGGCUGAACCAAUGGGCUGAGGUUUACCAGCUAAAGCGGCACAAGCGUAAAUGUGCAAUUUGCCCUUGGGUCCUAAACCCAACUGCCACCUUACGGAGCGCCCACUGCAUACAGAGCUCUAGGGCUGUGAGUUGGACAGUAAGCUCAGGACCAGUCAGCUCUCUGCCGUGGCAGCGAGUAACGGCGCAGAUGGGACACACUCAGGCCGGGGCACCACGGUUCCAGAAGGAUAUUGACAAUUGAGGACACGAAAGGAAAAGCGUAUGCAACACCCACUCUCGCUGUCCCCGCGCACCCCCACUCCCACCAUACUUGGCCCGCGGCCUCCUUGCAACCCCCAUGUCUGAAGUCGCCUCUUGUCCCCUCCAUCGGCUGUCCCCGGAACCCCAGCACUGCUUCCUCCCCUGUCCUGAGUCGCCACUGCCAUCCUAUUGACUCCACUCUCCCAACACCCUCAACCUCCUUGCCCUUUUUUCCAUCCCAUCCGGCCAAAUGCCAAGUCUGGCUUGAGACCGUGACCCUUGUUUUUCUGCUUAGGGACUUGGGUUUCUGAAGACAGCAAGACUGGAAAAUAUACUGGAGACUGGAACACGUUAAGCUCGGUGUCUCCACUCCCCCAGCAAGGGCCUUCCACACAUCAGCUACGUCUCUAGUCCCCACUCCUGGCUUAUUAGUCCUUGUCCCCUCUGGACAACCCUCCUCACCCGCACGCCACACUCCUCACUCUCAGCAUAUGACCUGACCUGGGUGGGAGAGAAAAAGGCUUUUUGGCGGGGGUGGGAAGUACUCCACCAACUUACUGCCCCUCUCUUUUUUUUAAACAGCUUAAUGAGGUGUAAUUUCCAGGCCAUAAAAUUCCUCUGUGGACGUGUACAAUUUACUGAUAUUUGCUGUUUUGACAGACUUGGGCAGUCAUCACCCCGUUCUAAUCUUUUAGUCAUGUUCCAUUCCUAUCCCAAGCCCUAGGCAUCCACGAAUCUACGUUCUGUCUCUACAGGUUUGCCUUUUCUGGACAUUUCGCGUAAAUGGAGUCGCACAAUGCGUAAUCUUUUGUGUCUGACUUCUUUUUCAGGUUCGUCCAUGUUGCAGCCUGCAACAGAAGCUGGUUCCAUUUUAUUGCAAAAUGCUCUUGCAUCGUAUGGAUAAAACACAUUUUGUUUGUUCACUAGGUGACGGACAUUUGAGUUGUUUUUGCUCCUUGGCUGUGAGGAGUGAUGCUGCUGUGAACGUUUGCAUACACAUCUUUGUGCGGAUAUAUAUUUUUAUGCCUCUUGGGCAGAUGCCUAGGAACUCACCCCAAUCUUACGAGCUGAUCUGGAUCCUUCUCUCCUUCCUCUCCAGUAUCAGUGACUGAGGUGUCUCUCCUCCGAUUACAGUAGAACUCUCCAGCUAUGCUCUGCAUUAUCCCCUUUCCUGCUGCCUGAUGGGUCUUGCUCUGUCUGUCCCCCCUUCUCUCUCACUGCCAGUAUUCUCCUCCAUAAAAUGAGGAUAACAGUAAGGUCCACCUCCUGGGGUUUUGUGAGGAUUAAAUGAGUUCAGUGGAUAGAUUCUGAGGUCCCUCAAGAUCCCCAUCUCCUCCUGUUCAGGCCUUCGUGAAAUCCCCUGGCGUGAGUAGAGGCGAGACCUGUGACUUGCUCCUCUAACCAAUGGCAUAUGGCAAAGGUGAUGGGAUGUCACUCCUAUAAUUAUGUCACAUUACAUAAGACUCUGUCUUAGAAGACUUGAGGUACAGACUUUCCUUGCUGGCUUCAUGAAGUAAUCAGGCACACUGGGGAACCCUGGGCAUCCUCCUGCAGGUGGCCUCUAGGACCUCAGAGGAGCCUCUAGCCAAUGGCCACCAAGACUCCACAGCCCCAGCACUACAACCACAAGAAAAUGAAUUAUGCUGACAAUCUGAGGGAGUGUAGAAGUGAAGUCUGCCCCAGUUGAGCCUCCAGAUGAGAAUUCAACCCAGCUGCCACCUCGACUGUAAGCUUUGAGACCCAGAGCAGAGGACCCAACUCUGCCAUAUCAGGAUUCCUGACCCGCAGAAACUAUAAGAUGAUAAAUAUGUGUUGUUGCAAGCUGCCGAGUUUGUGGCAAUUUGUUCCAUAGUAACAGAAAACAAAUGCAUACAUAAGGAGCUUAGAGAAGAGUCUAGCACCACCAGCAGCCCCUAAGAGUGUUAGUGGAUGCUCACGGUAGUAUGAGAUCAGCAAUUUUCCCCUAGAUUAUAACCAAGCAAAGCCCAUCUCAAGCAAUCAACAGAAAACAAGUGAGCCUUUAUUUUCCAUCCCUGACAAAUUCCUUCCAAGAGUUUUCUGUAUUCAUUUCUUGCCCUUCUAUUCACUCUCAUUUUGCUGCAAUUUAAUUCCUCCACUUCCUCUACUCCACUGAAGCUGUUCUCCUCGAGGUCACCAAUAAUCUCCUAGUUACUAAAUCUGCUGAAUGAUUUGUGUCCUUCCUGUACUUGACUUCCCUUUGGCCCUUGAUGUUGGUGACUGAAGUGGCUUAGAGCCUUGUCCCAACAAGACCUUCACUGAAUCUGAACCUCUUUCGGGAGAACUCAAGAGCGAUUAGAUCCUGGCAUGCUGGCUCCUGGAAACUUCCAUUCAUUCCUUCAUUCAUUCAUCUUGAUACACCCUUGCAUACUUGUGGGUAUUGCAGACACAGCACUAAAGCAUUCCACGAAACGGGCACGGUCUUUACUCUCAAAGAAGAUUGCAUUAGAGGCACAGGGGCACAGAUUAAAAUAGGCCCAGAAGUAGAUAGACUGUAAGAUUUCAUGUGUGUAAGUAUUGUGAUGACAACAAGGGAGGAUGAAGUGACAGAGAAUCCUACAUAGAGAACCUACAUUAGAGCAAGCAGUCGGAGAAAGCUUCUCCAGGGAGGUGACAUUUGAACUGGGGUUUGAAUGAAGGAGCCAGCCAUGGGGAGAUUGGGGGGAAGAGCACUCUAGGCCAAGGGAGCAGCUAAUGCAAAGACUCUAAAGCGGGCAGCAUAGUGGGGUGUCUAAAGAACAGAAAGAAGGCCAGUGUGGCUGCUGCAGAGCUGAGCGAACCGCUGAGUGGUGGGAGAUGAGGCCAGAGACACUAGCGGGCUCAGGCCGCCCCCCCCCGCCCCGGGCCCAGUCUGGACUUUAGUCCAAGUGCAACAGUGAAUGAACAGAGAUUUAAAGCAGGGGAGUCGAUGAUGUGGUUCUUGUUUUAUGAAGAGCAGUCUGGUUGCUACCUGGAGAAUGCAUUAGAGGGAGGCAACGGCCAAAGCAGAGAGACUAGCGGCAUGGCUAUCGCAGGGCUGUGGGGGAGAUGUGAUGGCGGUUCUGACUAGUGUAGAUUGUUUUCCCUGGAGACAGACUCUGGAAUUCUGUGAUUUGCAUACAGGUGAUUUCCUGGGGGAUGCGCUCAGGGACGACACCUGUGGGGGAGUGAGGAAAGCAGGCACAACUUCCAACUGUGAACAAGUUGCAACUGAGAGCCCUCAGCUCCCCUCAAGGGAAGCCACCAAGCUGGGAGACGUCCUUGGACCUGUCCUAAAUGGAAGCCAGAGGGUCAGGCUUUCAGACCGUAGACUCAACCAGUCCCUGGACGACGGGGUGUGGGCCUGGGGAGGGAACGUAGCCUCAAACAAAAGAGGGUUCUCUUCAACUGAGAGGAAUUCCUGGAGAAGGACGCCGCCACUGGAGGAUCGGGUGCCCUGGGCAUGCUAUGAAGUAUGCCACAGGUGGUAGCUACAGAAACGUAGAGAAUCUGGCAAAGCCAGAUUAUAAUUUCUAGGUAGAACCAGCGGAAGUCAUAGUUGGCCUCACUGUAAGACAAAACAUGGGAGGAAUCAAAGGUGGCUCCCAAGUAUCUGGUUUGAGCACUGGGGAAGAUGGUGUUCCCAUUCCUGAGACGGGGCACCGAUUUCUGGAGGAAAUUAAGAGCUCAGCUUUGGCCAUGUGCCAUCCCAGAGUCCUGACAGACGUCCGCGGAGUGUUGACAACUAUGCAGCCUGACAGGUGAGCAUGAGGCUCAGUCAAGGCUGAGGACCUAGUUUGGGAAACUCCUGGUCAUCCAGCAAGUAGAGGAUGUGUAGCCUGCCAGAGACACUGAAGAGAGACCCAUGAAGUGGGAGAGAAUUGAGAAGAGUGGGUGUCCCAGAAGCCAAGAGAGGAGCCGUUUUAAGGAAGAGGGAGGAGCCGUCAGGGUUGAGUGCCAAUGAGGGGCAACCGUUGGAUUUGGCGGGAUGGGGAUCACCAGGUAAUCUUGCCAAGAGGACUUUUGGUGGGAUGGUGGGAAUGGAAGCCCAGGUAGAAAAGGUGAGAGGGAGAAUCAGAGGUGGAGACGUGAUUACAGCAAUUGUAGGCAAUUAUUUGUUUGACCUAUUUCGCUGUACCGACAAGCAGGGAAAUGGGACAAUGCUUGGAGCAAGGUGUCUGGCCAAUUAUAGGGGUUUUCAAAAGAUGUCAUUCCAGAACAUGCACAUCUGUAGGUGAGGAUGAUUGCGGAGAGCGGCAAGAGGGAAGGAAGGUGCAAAGCCCUGAGGAAGGUGAGCUGGCUUGAGUCCAGGGCAUAAAUGGAGGAUUUGGACGUAUGCUCAAAGUCUUCCAACCAUGUUAUAGAAAGGAAAAUACCAACUGUAGGUUUUGAUACGAGUAUCUGUAGUUGAGUAGAUUUGGUGGUGGGGACAGAAGGUGAAGGAGUUUCAUUCUGUCAAUGGAGCAUGAGGUCAAGUGAGAAGAAAGGGCAUGUAGGGGAUUCCAUGAGCAGCUGGAGGUAAGUAGCUAAAUUCUUAGUCUCCACUGGAAAAGGCUGGACUCAGGCCCUGGCAACUUAAGGGCAGAUCUGCACGAGCGCUGGAAGGCUGCUUGGCGAACAGACUCAGAACAAAGACGUCUGGUGGAACAAAGAGACUAGAGACAACCACAGCCUUCUGCAUCCAUUCCUCUUGCCCUUGAGAAGCUCUUGCCAUUGGGACCAGAAAACUCCAAAUCUUAUAGCUUGAAUGCUCUGUACGUGUCUUUAGGAACAGAAUUUCCUGAAGGUCACAGUUUCUUGUCUUCUAGACCUCCCUGGGAUGGGCACCGCCUCUCUUUUCUCUGGGGACUCCCACUCUCUUCUGCUCCGUGAUCAACUUCCUUCUGGCCAACAAUUUUCUUAUUUUAGAUUUCCUAGACAGACAAAAUAGGCUAUAGUCCAGCACUCCUGGUCCCUGAACAAUUUUUCAUUUUUAGAUGACCCAGCCUAUGUCUGCUCUAGUCCAUGGGUUCCAAUGGACUCUCGGGGACUUAACUAUUUCCCUUAUUUUGCCAUUCCCCAGUGCCACUCUCAUACACUCUCCGCUUUUCAGCAUGUUCCUUUCACCCAAGGUCCUUCUCAUCUCAUCCUCCUUCUUCCUUUCUCACCCUCUCCAAGGUCUUCCCAGCCCUCAGGCACUGGCAUAGCUGGGGUCUCACCUUCAUGAUUCCAUCCUUCUGAACUUCAUAUACUCUUCCCAUGUUCCCCUGGCUUCCACGGAUGAUCCAAUGAAUUCCAAAUCCUUAUUGCCCGCCUAGAGCCCUCUUCUGAGCUACAGACUGGUCUCCACUGAAUGUCUCUCACAAGUCAAGGUCCCCUCCAUGAUGACGACACCCUUCCCGACCACCCCUCCCCCUUCAGAGUUCUAGUCCCUACACAGAUCUCAAUCUUAGCAUCUUGUAAUACUCACUUUUAAAAUAGACUUUAUUUUUAGAGCCGUUUUGAGUUCACUGCUAAAUUAAGCAAAAAGGACUGAUCGUUUCCAGAUACCCACAGUCCCCACACAUGCACUUGCUCCCCUAUAUCAACUCCCCCCACCAGAAUGGGACAUUUAUUACCAUCAGUGAACCCACAUUGACAAGGCAUGAUCACACCAAGCCCACAGUUCACAUUAGGGUUUACUCUUGGUGUUAUACACUCUAAGCGUUUUGACAAAUGUACGAUGACAUUUAUCCACCAUCAUAGUAUCAUAGAGUAGCUUCACUGACUAAAAGUUCUCUGUGCUCUGCCUACUCAUCCCUUCCCCCCUCCUAACCCCUGGCAACAGCUGAUCUUCUUACUGUAGCUCCAUAGUUUCGCCUUGUCCAGAAUGUCAGAUAGUUGGAAUCACACAGUGUGUAGGCUUUUCAUAUUGGCUUCUUUCACUUAACAAUGUGCAUUUAAGUUUCUUCUAUGUCUUUUCAUGAGCAUUUGAUAGCUCAUUUCUUUUUAGCAGUGAAUAAUAUUCCUUUGCACGAAUGUAUCACAGUUUAUCCAUUCACUUCCUAAAGAAAACCCUGUAGUACUAAUUUUUUUUUUUGCAGGGGAGGGGCGGAGGGCAAGAGAAAAUCUUAAGCAGGCUCCACGCCCAGUGUGGAGCCCGGCCCGGGGCUCGAUCUCUCAACUCUGGGAUCAUGACCUGAGCCAAAAUCAAGAGUCGGCUGCUCAACUGACUGAGCCACCCAGGUGCCCCAGUAGUCAUUUUUUUACACUUGUCAAUUUACAAGUAUGUCUCCAUCCACUAGAUAGUAAGCCCCUUAAGAACAAGAGUGACCAAAUUUUCAUAACCUUACCAUCUAGCAAAGUGCCUGGUACAUAGUUGAUCCUCAAUAAAUGUUAAACAGAGGCGUGUUAAAGUCAAUAAAUAGUGUCCCAGUGGCAUCUACAACGCCAUAUGUGCAAAGCCAAAUGUAAUCUCUCCUUCUCUUUGCCUUCAAAAUGAUCCAGAUAUACUCCUUAGACUUUCUGUUUCAUAGAAUCCACUUAGGAUAAAAAUCUGAAGAUACCCUAGACUCUUCCUCUCCUUCACCUCCCAUGUCCAACCCCUCCCAGCUCCUAUUGACUUGACCUUGAAUGUCUCUCACGUUAUGCCUGUCUGCCGCACCUUUUACCACCUCUCAAAUUCAGACCCUGUUCCUUCCUCCCCUGGAUUAUUCCAGCAGCCUCCUCACUUCACCACAUCCGUUCUGGCACUCUUCGCACUGGCCACCUGAGUUGUCUUCCUAAAAUAUCCCCUCCCUACUUAAAAGUCUGCAGUGAGCCCUCACGCCUGUGGGAUUACAAUGGAACCCCUUACAAAGACGUUUCAAAGCUACUCAUGAUCCAGCCCCUGAGACGGCGUAUGUGACGCUCUCAGCACAGUGCCUGGAACAGGAAAAGCACAAUAAAUGUUCACAUUAUUACCAUUUUUACAAUAUAGCCUGGAGAUAAAAAGAGUUUGGGAGGACAGGAGAAUUGCCAUCGAGUACCUGAUGACCAGGCAUAUGAAAUAUGCAUCAGACUCUUUCUGUUUUCUGUUUUCUUCCAGGAAACAGAAUUGGACAGACUGAGGGAGGCCGUGGAGAGGCAAGUUUCAUUUAAAUUGAAAGGCGACCUUUGUAACAGCCGGAAGCAUCCAGCUGGAAGGAAGUGAACACCACUUCACCAGAAGAGUGUGGUGGAAUGUUCCGGUCUCCAUCAGAGGGAAUCAGCCCCACGCGUGCGUUCCCACAGCAUUUGGCUCACGAUCCCAUCAGAGCACCUGCCUCGAUGCAUCUGGUCCCAGGUCUGGUCCCCUUUGGGUCGGAAGCUCCUUGAGGACAGGAGCAUUGUCUAGCCCCUGUCGCUGCAGUCUCCAUCAGCCCCAUGCAAGGGAGGGGGCAUUCAAAGGGAAGGGAGCCAGCUGGGGCCACUGACCCUCUUCAAAAGCCCUGUCUAAGGCCGCCCUGGGACCCACUCUCAAGGGACUUGCUCCAAAGACAAGUCUGAGACCCUGGCUGUGGCUGCCGUGGCAUGGCUCAGCCACCACGGCUGUCCCCUGAGCACGGUCCCACCAACACUCACUUUGGGAGCCACGCGGGACUGAAUGCCGGUUUGCAUUUCCAAGCCCCGAUCGUACACGCGAUAGAGGCUCGUGCAGCCGUUUAACACAAAGCUGCCGCUCUGUAUUUAUUGACAUGGAAAGAUGUCCACAACAUAUUGUCGAGAGAAAAAAGCGUUUUACACCACA
This is a long non-coding RNA of Neofelis nebulosa (Clouded leopard), 8487 nucleotides long. RefSeq lists it as uncharacterized. NCBI's taxonomy places the organism in Eukaryota, Metazoa, Chordata, Mammalia, Carnivora, Felidae. The transcript has 3 exons. The record is from RefSeq and is a predicted model, not a curated record.